GUCACAUCAUCUUCGUUACAAUUGUCUCGCUCCUUUUGCUCUUUAGCUCCCCAUUUCCUUUUCCCAUUUGAUCUUGUGCUUCGUUGCUGGAAGCUCUUGUGCUCUUUGGUGCUCUCUUUUGCAACAGGAACUGGAAUUGGAAGGCAUGGCAAAUAUAAUUCAGGAGGCGAAGGAAGCUGUGAUUCCGGGUGAAUCGAAGACGUCUGCAUCUGGGAAGCGGAUUUUGAUCGUGGCUACAUCUCACGAUAAGCUUGGCGACAGUGGCCAACCUACUGGAUGCUGGGCUGAGGAAUUAGCGGCUCCAUACUACAUUUUCAAAGAUGCGGGUGCUCAAGUGGAUGUGGCGAGCAUUAAGGGUGGAAAAAUUCCAAUCGAUAUUGGGAGUCUAGCAGAGAAUUUCGUGACCCCCCAUGUGAAUCGCUACUUGGCGGAUGAGUCUCUGAAAGAGUCCGUUGAGCUCGCUUUCAGUGAAGGAAAGUUUUUCCAAUUACGACGCCAUUUACAUUCCAGGAGGUCAUGGUAUUAUGUUUGAUGGGCCAAAUGACAAGCAUUUUAUUGCUGUGGUUGAGAAGUUCUGGACAGAAGGAAAGAUUGUGGCCUCUGUAUGUCAUGGCCCUGCUGGACUUGUGGCCAUUCGGGCCCCAGAUGGCAUUCCCAUUGUGAAGGGUAAAAAGGUAGGAAUAUAUUUGCGGGUUAUAUUACCUAAGAAACAAAUGAUUCUUUUCCAAUGUGAAGGGGUAUCAAUCAUGUGCUAUGUACGUGUGUCCAGGUCUGUGGGUUUUCAAAUGCUGAGGAAGCAGCAGUUGGAAAGACGAACAAGGUCCCCUUCCUUCUUGAAGACAAGCUCAAAGAAUUAGGUGGCUUAUAUGAAGCUGGACCUGAUUGGCAACCAAAAGCUGUUGCCGACGGACAGUUAAUUA
Molecule: non-coding RNA, 920 nt
Organism: Physcomitrium patens
Lineage: Eukaryota; Viridiplantae; Streptophyta; Bryopsida; Funariales; Funariaceae
Source: RefSeq, a predicted model, not a curated record